Unclassified non-coding RNA from Chrysemys picta bellii (western painted turtle), 96 nucleotides. NCBI's taxonomy places the organism in Eukaryota, Metazoa, Chordata, Testudines, Emydidae. The record is from Ensembl.
GCUCAAGAAAAGGCACAGUUAACAGCUGUGCAGCCUUCCCCACUCUGUGCCUGCCACUGUGCCUCAACCUGACAUAGAGGGAUCACCUCUAAGAGC